CGUUCACACACACUCCUGUCUGCACGGCCAAAGCAGGAACGGACUGACAAGGAAAAAAGGACAAAGAGUGGGAGACGCGGAGACAUUGCGAGAGAGACGGGAGAUGGGAUGGGGACUGUGAAGGUCAACUUUUAGAGUGUGACAUUGAAGAGCGUGAAGAACAAGAGGGAGAGGAAAAGGAGUAAAAACUGUUGUCUCAGAGGGGCAAUUCAGCAGUUCCUGCAACCUGUUGAUCAGGACGGGACGUUCACACAGAGUCGGAGUAAAAGUCUGCCUGCUGUUCAAAUGUACUGUGUUGUUGGCACUGGAAUAUUGCCCCGUUAUGAGGUCUGCCACUGUGGACCGGCUCCAUUACAAAGGUCAGAUGAAUACAGUGCCAUUGAAUGGGAUGGUUUCAUUCCUCGCUGCCUAACUCGCUUGUUAAUUUAAAGGUUAUGUACCACCCCCCCGUUUGAGUGAUUUCAGGCAUAAUUGUUUCGCCUCCACCUGUUUCCAUACAGCUUUCUGCUUAUACAGUAUGUUUGUCAUCUGUCUGCCCAUGUGUGUCAUCUGCCUGUCGUCAUGUCUGUCAGUCUGUGUGCCUCUCCUUGGGGUGUUGCUGGCAGCACGGAGCGCUAAGUGAGGUCAUAAAAAGCCUGAGAGGCGUAAUGGCAGUGUUGAAGCAAGGCCGGAGCCGCUCAAACAUUCCUCUCAUUGUUCAGGGGCCCCGUAAGUCUGCGAGCUCCCAAACCUCCAUGAAAGGAAGGGAAUCCAGUGGCUACUGUAGCUAACCCACUUUGAGCUGCAUUUCAGGGCUGGCUCUCUGUCUUCCUGUUUGCCGUCCUGUCUGGUGUGUGUGUGUGUGUGUGUGUGUGUCGGGGGUGUUGGUAUAGACCAAACUGAGUAGCGGAAGGCAAAAAUGGAACUGAAGGAGGUAAAAGUGAGGUUGACCUAAAGAAGAAGGAUAAGAUAAAGUGGUAUUAAUUUAGCCCCGAAAGUGGCGUCUAUCACUUUGCUCCGUAUGCGUCUGGCUGUGACUUCAGAUAACCUCCAUGCCAAAUGACAUGGGAAAGAGAAGGCACGGGUCAAAUGUGUUGUUAUUUUGCCUUCUGCUUUGAGAAGGUGGAAAAAUGGGGUGAUGGAUGGAUGGUGAGAAAGGAUGGGAGGAGCAGAAGAAUGUGGGGAUCUAACCCUCAAGCCUUGGCUUUGGUGGGGUGGUUUGAGUGGGUGGGUGUGCCCGGCAGCAAUCUGUAGGAAUGGGCCCAGGCUCAGGAAACCGUGGCGUAGUGGAAUAAAAGUGUGUGUGUGUGUGUGUGUGCAGCUUCAGCAUCCACUUGUGCAUGUGUGGUUCAGUGGCAGCAGGGCAGCUGUACUCUAAGUACAGGGCUGGUGGUGGUGGUAAGGGUGUUUGGCAAUGAAUCAGGCUGAGGAUAGGAUUACACGCACUGGGCUACAGGGAGUGGACCACGGGCUUGGGCUGGGCUCUUCACUGCUGAGGCUAGCUUUACAGCCCAAAGAGACUUUGAGCUUUUCCCUUUAAAAAAAAAAAGGAGUUGGAAAUACUUCUUUUUUACUUCUCAGACUAAUGUCCCACAUGUGGCGCGUUCCAUUGAUUCCAGGCCAGCCAAUGAACGGUCGCCUUUAAUUUGGGAAAACUGCAACAUAGAAGGCCCAUAGUAGAGGCCUGGGCUCUUGUUUGAAUGUCACUAAAUGUCACAGCCUCAGCAAUGAUUACACCCUCGCACGUAACAUGAAACAAAUACAAUCACAUGCGCACACAUACCCAGACAGACCCUGUCUGGUAGAAAGCAAGUUAAGGUGUGGUGCUGCGUUGUGUUUUAGUUGGCGGGCUUUGCCGUUUCGACUGCAGUUUUGUUGAUCCUGUGGUUGAUUUUCUGGCGGAUUAAAAAUGCAGCCUUGAAUCUGGAUAAUUUUUUUUCUUUUGAUGUGUCAGCUGCUCGCUCCUCAUCAUUUAACCGUUUUUAGGCUUUUCCACCUUUUCUUCCCAGGAGUGAGUUUAAUAGGCGCAACAGAGAAGAUAGCAAUUAUGGAAAGCAGACGUGGCAAAUUUACACCGUAAGAAGGGAAUUAACAUGUUACUGUAACAAUUGUGACUUCAUGUCUUGAACUUAUAGCAUUUACAGAGAAAGAUGAAGCUGUGGCUGGAAACAGCUUCAUCUGGCCCCUGUGAAAAUCAGUGGAAACAUAAAUGACUUGUGCUCGGCUUUGAGAAACAAUUCUUAAUGACAUGCACGAGCCUGGGAAUCGUACUGCUCACUGUUUGUUCUGUUAAGCGGUCCACAGCCUGGAGGUGCGAAUGAUGUCAGCUUGGUAUUUUUACUAUUCACAGUUUAUGAGAAAGAGUGAAAACCAGCUUACGCGAACCACACGUUUGCCACUGACAUCACUGUGUUUGCUCAGUGAUAGUGAACAUAUUGCGUGUGUGUGUGGAGAGUUUGGUAGAUUGCGCUUGGCCUGCGGAGCGUGUGUGCAUUUCUGUGCAAUGCGCACACAAGGACACGGGCAGAGAGAAGAUAUGUGUUGAAACAACAAGGGUUUGAGAUCCAGCUGUCCCAGCAGAGGCUUUUCCACUUAACUGUGUGCCCUUGUGUAAACGGCAAUGUCAAUUCUGAACUCGAGCCGACGAUCUGAGAAAACAGCCAGUGGCCACGUCUGCACUUGGGCCGCCAUACGUCAUGUGCAUGAACAAUAAACACACAUACACACCACGAAACCAUCAAAGAACCCACACAUGAGGCCAUAAUCCACGAAGACAUGCUCUCUAAAAACACUUUAAUUUCACUAGAAUACAUCUGCUGGCAGGCGUCACUCGGUGAUGCUCAUUUUCCAACCCUACGCCUCCGUCGAGGUGCAACAAGUUGCCACGGUUGCGAGCUACCAGUAAGAUGCAGCCUAUAUGCCACAUACUUGUUAUUUCUAAUGAUAAUAAACAUCCAGUAUGAGAAGCCAGUAGCAGGAGGGCCGCCUGUAUCCUCCCCCCAAAAAAAACAAAAAAACAAGGCGAAUGUGAGAUCCUCGCAGAGAGUGUUUGAGGUGAGGUGUUGGACAGCGUGCGUCAACCAGAAUGCCGUCAUUACAGGGGAAGGAAUGAGCUCAUGGACAUUAACGGGCUGCGGGUUUGAGUGGGGGGGGGGAGCGAGAAACCGAUGGAAACGAUGAAAAGGCAGAGAAAAUAACACACCAGGAUGAAAAGAGAUGGCGGUAUAAAGGGUUUAAGGUUAAAGGCGGGUAGGAGGUAAAGGGAGCAGUUGUCGUGUCUUUGAUGGAUGCCAAGACCUUAAUUUACCUUCUUUCUUGACAGCAUCUUGUUGUGACCGUGUGGAGACCGGCCUAGGCUUUAAAAAGCGCAACUCGUAAAACAGAAAGGAAAUUAAGAAGACGUACAACUGGGAUCUAAAACGGGCCGCACUGGGUACAUUUUUAUGUUGACAUUUUGGUUUUCUGUUAACCGAGCGAUUAAAAAAACUGUCCCGAAGGCAAUGUAAAUGUACACUUUAGUUUACUGUAGAGUCAAAAAAGUUGAUUUUGAAAGUUAGCGAGAACAGACAAUGCUAUUCUGUUUUCUUCCCAGUAGCACCCAAACACUGAACCUCACUUUGGCCUGGUGAAAACUGGAAAGCUUCCACAUGAGAUGCUGCUUUUAGCUCAAAACGAUGCUCACAACUGGGCUGGAAAAAGUUUGCGUUCUAUUUAUGGAAGCUCUGUCUAAACACUAGAUUUGUGAAACAGAGGUGCCCGCUUUAGUGAUAACAUUUCCCGGCCACUGCCCCAAAGAGACAACAGACAGCCAGCUAAAGCUUAUUUAGAGUCUGGAGUUCCCACUGACUCAUACCUUGUACACAGCAAAAUAUUCAAGCUGCUGAAAAUAAGAGCAACUCAAAGGAGGGCGGCAAAAUGAGCGGAUCAGCCGGGAUCUGGAGACUGGAACGGUGUUCAUUAAAUAAAGUUUAUCCUGUCCAGACAAGUGAAAUUCAACCAAAAGAAAUUCACAGCAUUAUGUUGUGCUCCGGGGCGGGAUGGCUGUGUGUGCUUCUCUUCUUCUCCUUUUUUUUUCUUUUAAGGAAUACGCAGGAUCAGACUUUAUGUUUUCACAAUGUAUAAAAGCAAAGGUUCUCUAUGCAACAUGAAAAUCCCUAACAAUUUCUUAAGAGAUUUUGCUGUAACUUAGCAGCAGAGGAAACAUGCUCCAGUGCUCUUUUUCUCAUUUUGUUUUGUCUUUGGUUUUCCCCUGUUCACAAGGGGCACAGAUAAAGGGUGCAGGGUAAGCGUCUGUUAAAGGCAGUGCCAUUCGAGUGGCCACUUCCUUCUAACCUAAUUCUCCAUUCUGUCAUUGAAAAGCUAUUUUUAUAAGAGGCCACAGGAAGUCUGGGAGUUGACAAGGACCACGUACAGUGCACACAGGGUUGAGAAAAUGCAGUGACUGACCUGCGAAUGACAAACAUGUGACAGAGCCAGACUGCUCUCUAUGUGUAUUGGGGGGGUUAAAGAAGAAGGGAGCUGCUGCUUAAAAAGGUGACAGUGAUGCUCGAGUCUUAUUGUGGUAUUUAUUACUGCGCAUGCUUUGAAGUCUUCUUUCCACCACAGACCGUCCAGCUCUAUCUGUUGGCCAGGGGAAUUCCUGGCAGAGUGAUUUUUUUUAAACUAGAGGACUGAAUCACAUUGCCAGGGAUUUCCAAUGGCUGACACGAAGAAAGCAGCCUCUUCGUCGCACGCGCGCCAAUUUGCCAACUCAUACACAGUCACUCAUUUGCAUACACACAUAGAAACGUCUCCUUUCUGUGUCACAAACAGAUGCCCGUCGAAGCCUGGCUGUGCGGCAGCAGGACUUAACCCACAUGUGAACAGUGAGUGUCUGCCAUGUUCACAGUGGUUAAGUUCUGCCGCCACAGGGCUGCAGCCUGCAGGGGACAAGGGAGAGGAGUAAAGGUCAGGGAGGGGCCGCACUGCAUCAAAAACACCACUCUCCACAUCAACACCAGGCUUCACAUGAGCAUGAUCUCGUCCCAUGACUAUAUCCUCCCAACAAAAAUCUGCUUUUUUAUAUAAAAUGUGGAUCUAGCCGCCUGUUCGAUGAUUUACUUAAGAACCUGUGACCUUCUUUGGCACUUGAACCCAACAACAACAAAGCAAAAAAGAUCUUUAUCUGUCACACCAUCGCCCAUUUUUUUCUGUUAUCUCAUCGCUGCCCUGCUUUCUCAAGCGGUUUAUAGAAACUUGAGCAGCAAACUCAGUGAGUCUAUUUUUCCUUAAAGGAAGCUUUUCAGGAAGUCUGCCACACAAACCCGGCACCCAUCAAAGGAAGUGUCAAAAAAGCCAAUUUCACCUAAAUGACAGCAAAUGCUGUGCCAUACUGCAAAUUUUGGUAUCGAUCCGAUACCAAAAUACAGAGCCAGAAUUAUCAAUGCUGCUACUUUUAACUGAUAAAUGCAGCUUAUGUAGGGGAGUGUGUCAUGACUUAUGAGAUGAAUUACCACAAUAAUUACUCAGUACAACAAAUCAGCGUUUCAUGUGGCUGUCUCUAAAGCACUCUGGAUCAGCUUCUGUCCUUUAAAUGUGCUACGUACUGAACAUAAGGAUAGAAGAGUAUCGGUCCAAUUGUGCUAGUAUCCAUCUGAUACCAACACCAGUAUUGGUAUCGAUACUAUCAAUAUUUGAAUCGAUCCACUGCCCGCUACUAGAAAGCAUCACGUUGCCGGUAACGAGGCAAAUACGUCCUACUCCUCAACAGCCAGAUUGAUCCUUUGACUUUAUUUUUACGAGCUUUCCUGAUCGUUGCUAAAUUGACAACAUGUGUCGGAGGCUGUGUGUGUGCACGCGCGUGCGGGAGUACUCCAUGGAUGACUCAGUAGUGUUACGAGUCGGCACUGUGAUGUGGCUGAUGUGAUGUGAUGAGCGAGUGCCUGGCAAAAACAGCUAAUCUGGUGAAUUAGCCGAAAUUGUUCGGUCUCAGUGUGUCAGAGCCUGAUAAAUGUCAGGCGUCUCAUUAGUGUCGAAGGCUGCUCCCGUUCCUGUUGGGCGGGCAAUAUGUCAUCUUGUGUUGUCGGGUGUAUUGCUGGCUGCCAGGCUCUCUCUGGUGUGUGUGUGUGUGUGUGUGUGUGUGUGUUUAGUUUCACUUCUACCUGUUGAUUUCUGCAUGAGCAUCAGUGUCUGUUUGGCUCGUUGUUGUGUGUCUGUGUUUAUGUGUGUGUGACCACCUCUGUCCCCUCCUCCUCACCCCCCCGCUGGGUCGGUCUCCUGUGCCUGCUGUGCUGAUAAUCAGUGUGUGACGUCGGCUGGCUCAGUUCAGCAGGAACAGGGGACUGUUCUCAUUUCCACACUCUUUCUCUCUCACACACACACAAACACACACACACACUUUAAUGUCAGUUUAAUAACAACAUUAACACCAGCGUGUUUUCUUUAGUUAUGCAGCUCUUUUUCAUGACAUACACAGACCUUUAAAAGCAUAUAACCAUAAAAGCUUAUAAUGUAUUAUAAAUGUUAGAAAUUUUUUAAACUGUAUUUUUAGGGUUUCUUUCUUUGUUUUUUGUACCGUGAUCUAUGAAAAUGAAAAAAUAUAUCAAUUAAUUAAGUCUGUUUAAGUAUAUUUGAAUCUUUUUUGGAAAAAUAAAACUUGUUUUGGAAAAAAAA
Maylandia zebra (zebra mbuna) is the source of this 6630-nucleotide long non-coding RNA. RefSeq lists it as uncharacterized. Lineage: Eukaryota; Metazoa; Chordata; Actinopteri; Cichliformes; Cichlidae. The record is from RefSeq and is a predicted model, not a curated record.